GUCUAUGGCCAUGCGACUCUGAACAAGCCUGAUCUCGUCUGAUCUAGGAAGCUAAGCCGGGUCAGGCCUGGUUAAUACUUGGAUGGGAGACCACCUAGGAGGACCAGGUGCUGUAGGUG
RNAcentral lists this ribosomal RNA (119 nucleotides) under Pteropus alecto (black flying fox). Lineage: Eukaryota; Metazoa; Chordata; Mammalia; Chiroptera; Pteropodidae. The record is from RNAcentral.